GUGCUUGCUUUGGGAGCACAUACACUAAAAUUGGAAGGAUACAGAGAUUACCACGGCCCCUGAGCAAGGAUGACAUGCAAAUUGGUGGAGCGUUCCAUAUUUUA
Small nuclear RNA from Phyllostomus discolor (pale spear-nosed bat), 104 nucleotides. NCBI's taxonomy places the organism in Eukaryota, Metazoa, Chordata, Mammalia, Chiroptera, Phyllostomidae. The record is from RefSeq and is a predicted model, not a curated record.